GACACCUCACAAUGAAGCAGGAAAAUAAACGGGCCCUGUUACACAAUUCUGGUUUUAAAAAGAAAAAUCAAACUGCCAUUUCCAGAGGAGCAGCGCCUGGGGCCCCUGUCCUGGAGGCAACAGGGCAGGAGCAAGGAGGGGACUGGGAGCUGGGUUUGAAGGGAUGGAAAUGAAGAUUGAAUAAUUCUCUGCUGUGAGGGUUUGGGGCUGGAGAUCUGCUGUGGUGUGGCCAGAGAUCCUGGAAAAAUUCCUUUUUCCCUCGUGCUGCCUGGAAUGAAGAUUUUCCUCCAGGGAUCAUGAACCAUGAGGAGGAGCUCAGGCAGGAAUUGUCUUCAUCCCGCUCCCUUGGCUUUUCAGGGCGUGAGAUCCCACCACUGAAGAAGUGAGAAGAAGAAAUGAAGAAGUGAGAUCCCUGCACUAAAGCAUGUUUAAUCCAGCUCCAUGGACAGGAGGUUUCUUGGAAUUAGAAGGAAGAAGCAAGACCAGGAGGACUUCAUGGGCCAUGAAGUAGUCAGGCUCUAACUGUACAUCAGGUGGAAAUUCACAUUUUCAUUGCAAAGGCCAGUGCUUGACCCCUCUUGGUCACUGUCAGGACCACCUUGCUGCAUCCACAGGGCCGUGCCAAACCCAGUUUGCAUCUCCAGUUGUCAGAGCAAGCCCUUAUGCCAUGAACUUCAAUCCUUGCUUGAGCUGGAACUUUCUGUUUGGUAACAAGGCACCUGGUGGAGGCAAACUCUCGUCCCCACUGG
This is a non-coding RNA of Taeniopygia guttata (zebra finch), 749 nucleotides long. The record is from RefSeq and is a predicted model, not a curated record. NCBI's taxonomy places the organism in Eukaryota, Metazoa, Chordata, Aves, Passeriformes, Estrildidae.